This 258-nucleotide ribosomal RNA is filed under the name uncultured bacterium. RNAcentral describes it as "partial 16S ribosomal RNA". The record is from RNAcentral.
CUGCUGCCUCCCGUAGGAGUUUGGGCCGUGUCUCAGUCCCAAUGUGGCCGGUCACCCUCUCAGGUCGGCUACUGAUCGUCGGCUUGGUGGGCCGUUACCUCACCAACUACCUAAUCAGACGCGGGUCCCUCCUAUACCACUAUCGUUUUUCACUCAGCGCCAUGCGGCUCCGUGCGCUUAUGCGGUAUUAGCAGUCAUUUCUAACUGUUAUCCCCCUGUAUAGGGCAGGUUCCCCACGCGUUACUCACCCGUCCGCCG